This 548-nucleotide ribosomal RNA is filed under the name uncultured bacterium. RNAcentral describes it as "partial 16S ribosomal RNA". It matches the Rfam family "Bacterial small subunit ribosomal RNA", at positions 355 to 895 of the family's 1533-position model. The record is from RNAcentral.
UGGGGAAUAUUGCACAAUGGGCGCAAGCCUGAUGCAGCCAUGCCGCGUGUGUGAAGAAGGCCUUCGGUUGUAAAGCACUUUCAGCGAGGAGGAAGGUGGUGAGCUUAAUACGCUCAUCAAUUGACGUUACUCGCAGAAGAAGCACCGGCUAACUCCGUGCCAGCAGCCGCGGUAAUACGGAGGGUGCAAGCGUUAAUCGGAAUUACUGGGCGUAAAGCGCACGCAGGCGGUUUGUUAAGUCAGAUGUGAAAUCCCCGGGCUCAACCUGGGAACUGCAUUUGAAACUGGCAAGCUAGAGUCUCGUAGAGGGGGUAGAAUUCCAGGUGUAGCGGUGAAAUGCGUAGAGAUCUGGAGGAAUACCGGUGGCGAAGGCGGCCCCCUGGACGAAGACUGACGCUCAGGUGCGAAAGCGUGGGGAGCAAAACAGGAUUAGAUACCCUGGUAGUCCACGCUGUAAAACGAUGUCGAUUUGGAGGUUGUGCCCUUGAGGCGUGGCUUCCGGAGCUAACGCGUUAAAUCGACCGCCUGGGGAGUACGGCCGCAAGGUU